GGUCUUAGAGGGACGCCAUAGAAGGUAUGGGAAGCAUUAAUUACCUCUCAGAUGACGGUUAACUAAAGGACCUGAUUUCAGAGAUGUAGAGAAAAUAUUACCAGAGGUUUUAUAGACUUUAUUUCCUGUGCAACUAUGGAGGGUUUUGUCGACUCUUGUCCUCAAAACCUCACAGAAGCUAUAAAUGCCUCUACAAGACUUGGUUGUGGUCGUGAUAAGUAUGGUAAUGAUCAGUAUAUAUGUCUCCCGAACAUAGAGAAAAGUGGUCUGGUAGAAUUAUGUCACGAUGGAAUUAUGGGUAUAAUACAAAGAGGAUACUGUUUGGAGACGACGGAGAGAAAACUCUUUCAAAGUAACUGCUCAGGGUUUUUAGAAGGCUGUCCAGAUGAUCCUUACAGGAGCAAUGAGAAUUACAAUUAUCCUGCUUGUCAACAAAUUAACACACAAUACCAAUGCUAUCUUGCCGAUCCUUCGUGUUCAAUAACAACACAUAGCUUAGAUCUUGGCGUGUUUAACACUACGACAAUAAAUAAUCAAACAGCCAAAUCCAGGAGUACGACUCCGCCAACAUUGGUGCAAUAGGAGGAGGAGUGUGUGCUGGAGUGAUUGUCCUCCUCCUCUUGUUCCUAGGAGUUCUUCUAUGGAGAAGAAAACAUACGUGGAAAAGAAAAAGGGAAUGUGGCCCUGAGUGUGACAUAAAUGAAAAAUACACCGAUAGCGUUCAUGAAUUUUCAUGUAGUGCUCCAUUGCUAUCAACUAAUACUACUGGAGAUGGAGGAGAAAGGAUAUCAGAAACAGGCGAACUAGAGGAGGGGAAGCACGUUUUCACAAAGACUAAUGUAGCAAAGAAAGUCUAUGAGGCCAUAGAAGCUGAUAUAAGUAGUAAACAAGAGAAAAAAACCAAUGAUGUCACAGAGGCUGGCGUUAAAAGUAAUCCAGAGGAAAAAAUCUACGGUGUCAAAGAGGCUGGCGUUAAUAGUAAACCUGGGAAUAUAUCCCAUUGUGACAUAGAAACAGAUGAAAAUAGUAAACCAGAAGAAACAGUUUCUGGUUUACAAAAUAUUGGAAUCAAUAGUGAACCAGAGGAAAAAGAGCACGAUGAUAUCAAUACUAAAUCAGAAAAAAGAAGCCAUGGUAACACGAAGGCUAAUGUUAAUAAACCAGAAGGAAAGAAAAU
Molecule: long non-coding RNA, 1177 nt
Organism: Saccostrea cuccullata (small rock oyster)
Lineage: Eukaryota; Metazoa; Mollusca; Bivalvia; Ostreida; Ostreidae
Exons: 7
Source: RefSeq, a predicted model, not a curated record